RNAcentral lists this ribosomal RNA (465 nucleotides) under uncultured bacterium. Its description in RNAcentral is "bacterial SSU rRNA". It matches the Rfam family "Bacterial small subunit ribosomal RNA", at positions 338 to 795 of the family's 1533-position model. The record is from RNAcentral.
CCUACGGGACGCACCAGUGGGGGAUAUUGCACAAUGGGCGCAAGCCUGAUGCAGCCAUGCCGCGUGUAUGAAGAAGGCCUUCGGGUUGUAAAGUACUUUCAGCGGGGAGGAAGGUGUUGUGGUUAAUAACCACAGCAAUUGACGUUACCCGCAGAAGAAGCACCGGCUAACUCCGUGCCAGCAGCCGCGGUAAUACGGAGGGUGCAAGCGUUAAUCGGAAUUACUGGGCGUAAAGCGCACGCAGGCGGUCUGUCAAGUCGGAUGUGAAAUCCCCGGGCUCAACCUGGGAUCUGCACUCGAAACUGGCAGGCUAGAGUCUUGUAGAGGGGGGUAGAAUUCCAGGUGUAGCGGUGAAAUGCGUAGAGAUCUGGAGGAAUACCGGUGACGAAGGCGGCCCCCUGGACAAUGACUGACGCUCAGGUGCGAAAGCGUGGGGAGCAAACAGGAUUAGAUACCCGAGUAGUC